GACGAACGCUGGCGGCGUGCUUAACACAUGCAAGUCGAACGGUAAGGCCCUUCGGGGUACGACGAGUGGCGAACGGGUGAGUAACACGUGGUGAUCUGCCCUGCACUUCGGGAUAAGCCUGGGAAACUGGGUCUAAUACCGGAUAGGACCAUGGACUUCACGGUUUGUGGUGGAAAGCUUUUGCGGUGUGGGAUGGGCCCGCGGCCUAUCAGCUUGUUGGUGGGGUAAUGGCCUACCAAGGCGACGACGGGUAGCCGGCCUGAGAGGGUGUCCGGCCACACUGGGACUGAGAUACGGCCCAGACUCCUACGGGAGGCAGCAGUGGGGAAUAUUGCACAAUGGGCGCAAGCCUGAUGCAGCGACGCCGCGUUGAGGGAUGACGGCCUCGGUUGUAACUCUUCAUAGGACGAGACGCGAAGUGACGGUACC
RNAcentral lists this ribosomal RNA (429 nucleotides) under uncultured bacterium. Its description in RNAcentral is "bacterial SSU rRNA". It matches the Rfam family "Bacterial small subunit ribosomal RNA", at positions 28 to 479 of the family's 1533-position model. The record is from RNAcentral.